Molecule: ribosomal RNA, 483 nt
Filed under: uncultured Curtobacterium sp.
Lineage: Bacteria; Bacillati; Actinomycetota; Actinomycetes; Micrococcales; Microbacteriaceae
Description: bacterial SSU rRNA
Rfam family: Bacterial small subunit ribosomal RNA
Source: RNAcentral
GAAACUUAAAUGAAUUGACGGGGCCCGCACAAGCGGCGGAGCAUGCGGAUUAAUUCGAUGCAACGCGAAGAACCUUACCAAGGCUUGACAUACACCGGUAACGCCCAGAGAUGGGUGCCCCUUUGUGGUCGGUGUACAGGUGGUGCAUGGUUGUCGUCAGCUCGUGUCGUGAGAUGUUGGGUUAAGUCCCGCAACGAGCGCAACCCUCGUCCUAUGUUGCCAGCGGGUCAUGCCAGGGACUCAUGGGAGACUGCCGGGGUCAACUCGGAGGAAGGUGGGGAUGACGUCAAGUCAUCAUGGCCCUUAUGUCCAGGGCUACACACGUGCUACAAUGGACGGUACAGAACGAUGCGAAACCGCGAGGCGAAGCAAAUCGGCGAAACCGUUCGUAGUUCGGAUUGGAGUCUGAAACCCGACUCCAUGAAGUUGGAAUCGCUAGUAAUCGCGCAUCAGCACGGCGCGGUGAAUACGUUCCCGGGCCUU